This 484-nucleotide ribosomal RNA is filed under the name uncultured bacterium. RNAcentral describes it as "partial 16S ribosomal RNA". It matches the Rfam family "Bacterial small subunit ribosomal RNA", at positions 30 to 507 of the family's 1533-position model. The record is from RNAcentral.
AUUGAACGCUGGCGGCAGGCCUAACACAUGCAAGUCGAGCGGAUGAAGGGAGCUUGCUCCUGGAUUCAGCGGCGGACGGGUGAGUAAUGCCUAGGAAUCUGCCUGGUAGUGGGGGAUAGCGUCCGGAAACGGGCGCUAAUACCGCAUACGUCCUGAGGGAGAAAGUGGGGGAUCUUCGGACCUCACGCUAUCAGAUGAGCCCAGGUCGGAUUAGCUAGUUGGUGGGGUAAAGGCCUACCAAGGCGACGAUCCGUAACUGGUCUGAGAGGAUGAUCAGUCACACUGGAACUGAGACACGGUCCAGACUCCUACGGGAGGCAGCAGUGGGGAAUAUUGGACAAUGGGCGAAAGCCUGAUCCAGCCAUGCCGCGUGUGUGAAGAAGGUCUUCGGAUUGUAAAGCACUUUAAGUUGGGAGGAAGGGCAGUAAGUUAAUACCUUGCUGUUUUGACGUUACCAACAGAAUAAGCACCGGCUAACUUCGUG